Molecule: long non-coding RNA, 554 nt
Filed under: Olea europaea (common olive)
Lineage: Eukaryota; Viridiplantae; Streptophyta; Magnoliopsida; Lamiales; Oleaceae
Description: long non-coding RNA (OEUR_LNC005819)
Source: RNAcentral
GCCUAUUGAGAUAUCCAACAUGACCCACAUGUUUUCUUCUUGCUCAAAACAAAAACCAAAGAACCUAACUCAAGAAAUUUGUUUACAAUAGUGAACAACCAGAUUAAUCAAAUGAAUUACAUAUUAAAGCAAUUUCGUUAUGAGAAAUUAUCCGAUUAUCAAUAAUGCCUAAUUAAAAAGGUUCCAGAAGCUAAAAGAAGUACAAUGGCAUUUCCAAUUAUCAAGCAAUGAAGUCAUCUCUGCUAUCGUUUUUGGCUCUAUAUUUCUUGUAUUCUCUUGAUUGAAUAGUUCCUUGCAAAAUUCUUUUCUCUUCGUAUAUCUCUUGUAAAGAAAUAGACAGCAAACUUGAAAGAAUCUCUUUUUGGAUAUGUAGUAUUCAUUGGUGCUACUCUUGGAUUGCUUUAGUAUAAGUGAUUCAUAAACCUCAAAAGAACAUUAUGGAACAUCCCUCUUUUCGUUGUUGACACUGGAAUGCAAUCUUCAUCUCUGGCUAAAUAUUGCAAGAAAAUUAAUGAGAGAAACAACUUCUUUUUUACCGUUUUAUAAUGUUCUGG